GCCGGGCGCGGUGGCGCAUGCCUGCAAUCCCAGCAACUUUGGAGGCUGAGGCAGGAGGAUCCCAAGUUCAAGGGACUUGGGGAUUCAAGUAACUUAGUGAGCAAGCACCUAAGCAACUUGGAGAGACUCUGUCUCAA
Molecule: small RNA, 137 nt
Filed under: Marmota monax (woodchuck)
Lineage: Eukaryota; Metazoa; Chordata; Mammalia; Rodentia; Sciuridae
Source: RNAcentral